GGAGAGAUGGCAGAGCGGUCGAACGCGCUACCUUGGAAAGGUAGUAUGCGCGCAAGCGUAUCGGGGGUUCGAAUCCCCCUCUCUCCG
Molecule: transfer RNA, 87 nt
Filed under: Minisyncoccota bacterium
Lineage: Bacteria; Bacillati; Minisyncoccota
Description: tRNA-Ser
Rfam family: tRNA
About the family: Transfer RNA (tRNA) molecules are approximately 80 nucleotides in length. Their secondary structure includes four short double-helical elements and three loops (D, anti-codon, and T loops).
Source: RNAcentral